CAGUAUUAUCUCAGCUGAUAACACUACACCAUUCAUAUGGCAGAGAAAUAGGGAAACAAAACUCAUUCCAGCCCUUUCGUUCUGGCAUUCUCUCUGCAAAAGGCAAAGGGCCCCCCUCGCGAUGAAUAGAGCUGGGGUAGAAAUACAAUCCUGUACUAUUGCUAAAAGCCAGAAGAGCUGACUCUUUUAUUCCAAGGGGAAGUUUGGGGGUGUUCUUACCCUUGGUCCUAUGUAUACUCUCAUGAGUGAUAGAUCAGGAUGAAGACUUUCAGAUAUGGAGUCUUGCUCUGUUGUCAGGCUGGAGUACAGUGGCAUGAUCUUGGCUCGCGGCAACCUCCACCUCUCAGUUCAAGCAAUUCUCCUGUCUCAGCCUCCGGAGUAGCCAGGAUUACAGGUCCUAAGAAUGGAAUUCAGGAGUGGACAAGACAUAACUUUUGCCAUGAAGCAUCUCAUCACACAUUUGCUGAGAAUUAUGGUUUCCAGUUUCACCCAUGUACCUGCAAAGGGCAUGAACUCAUCCUUUUUUAUGGCCACAUAGUAUUCCAUGGUGUAUAUGUGCCACAUUUUCUUUAUCCAGUCUAUCUUUGAUGGGCGUCUGGGUUGGUUCCAAGUCUUUGCUAUUGUGAACAGUGCUGUAAUAAACAUACGUGUGCAUGUGUCUUUAUAGUUGAAUGUUUUAUAAUUCUUUGCAUAUAUACCCAGUAUUGAGAUUGUUGACUCAAAUGAUAUUUCUAGUUCUAGAUCCUUGAGGAAUCCCACACUGUCUUCCACAAUGGUUGAAAUAAUUUACACUCCCACCAAAUAGUGUAAAAGCCUUCUAUCUUUUAACUCUCCAUGUCAUCUUAGGGAAGCUAUUUCUUCUCCUUUAGAGUGUAUAUCUUCAAAACAUUGACCUAUUUCAACCCCCCACCCCCACAGUUUUCCUAAUGUAGAAAGUAUGGCCUGAUGGUCUUCAACUUCUAUUGAUUUAAGA
This 973-nucleotide long non-coding RNA is filed under the name Callithrix jacchus (white-tufted-ear marmoset). RNAcentral describes it as "lncRNA (ENSCJAG00000064934.2)". The record is from RNAcentral. Lineage: Eukaryota; Metazoa; Chordata; Mammalia; Primates; Cebidae.